UACGGAGGGUGCAAGCGUUAUCCGGAUUUAUUGGGUUUAAAGGGUCCGUAGGCGGAUUUGUAAGUCAGUGGUGAAAUCUCACAGCUUAACUGUGAAACUGCCAUUGAUACUGCAGGUCUUGAGUGUUAUUGAAGUAGCUGGAAUAAGUAGUGUAGCGGUGAAAUGCAUAGAUAUUACUUAGAACACCAAUUGCGAAGGCAGGUUACUAAGCAACAACUGACGCUGAUGGACGAAAGCGUGGGGAGCGAACAGG
Molecule: ribosomal RNA, 253 nt
Filed under: uncultured bacterium
Lineage: Bacteria
Description: partial 16S ribosomal RNA
Rfam family: Bacterial small subunit ribosomal RNA
Source: RNAcentral